CUCCAGACUCCUACGGGAGGCAGCAGUGGGGAAUAUUGCACAAUGGGGGAAACCCUGAUGCAGCGACGCCGCGUGAGUGAAGAAGUAUUUCGGUAUGUAAAGCUCUAUCAGCAGGGAAGAAAUAGCGACCUUUGGGUCGCCAGACGGUACCUGACUAAGAAGCCCCGGCUAACUCCGUGCCAGCAGCCGCGGUAAUACGGAGGACGCGAGCGUUAUCCGGAUUUAUUGGGUUUAAAGGGUGCGUAGGCGGACUGUAAAGUCGGCGGUAAAGGCCGGGGGCUCACCCCCGGCGAGCCGUUGAAACUGGCUGUCUUGAGAUGUCGAGAGGUAUGCGGAAUGCGCAGUGUAGCGGUGAAAUGCUUAGAUAUUGCGCAGAACUCCGAUUGCGAAGGCAGCAUACCGGCGGCGAUCUGACGCUGAGGCACGAAAGCGUGGGUAUCGAACAGGAUUAGAUACCCGAGUACA
RNAcentral lists this ribosomal RNA (465 nucleotides) under uncultured bacterium. RNAcentral describes it as "bacterial SSU rRNA". It matches the Rfam family "Bacterial small subunit ribosomal RNA", at positions 329 to 794 of the family's 1533-position model. The record is from RNAcentral.